Molecule: long non-coding RNA, 367 nt
Organism: Pelobates fuscus (common spadefoot toad)
Lineage: Eukaryota; Metazoa; Chordata; Amphibia; Anura; Pelobatidae
Exons: 3
Source: RefSeq, a predicted model, not a curated record
AUCCCUCCUCGAUCCAUUAUACAUGUGUUUACAGCAACAGACAGAGAUGCUGGGGACAAAAUAUUCUAUGAUUUUGCAGGACCUACGAGAAUAUUUUCUAUAAACUCUGUUACUGGUUCUCUAAUUAUUGAACAGACGUUCGAUUAUGAUAAUCCUGAUGAACCCAAAGCAUUUGCAUUGACUUUAAAAGCAUCAGACAAUGCUAGUCAUGUAACUUACUAUAACAUUCAUGUUUACAUUGAAAAUAUAGAUGAGCCACCAGUUUGUGAUCCAAGCAUUUCCACUGGAAGAGGCAUUGUACUAUCUGUGCCUGAGACAUUUCCAACACAGACACCGCUGUACACUAUUCUGGCUAAAGACCCUGAUG